Molecule: ribosomal RNA, 577 nt
Filed under: Bifidobacterium adolescentis
Lineage: Bacteria; Bacillati; Actinomycetota; Actinomycetes; Bifidobacteriales; Bifidobacteriaceae
Description: bacterial SSU rRNA
Rfam family: Bacterial small subunit ribosomal RNA
Source: RNAcentral
CCAGGAGCUUGCUCCUGGGUGAGAGUGGCGAACGGGUGAGUAAUGCGUGACCGACCUGCCCCAUACACCGGAAUAGCUCCUGGAAACGGGUGGUAAUGCCGGAUGCUCCAGUUGAACGCAUGGCCCUCUGGGAAAGAUUCAGCGGUAUGGGAUGGGGUCGCGUCCUAUCAGCUUGAUGGCGGGGUAACGGCCCACCAUGGCUUCGACGGGUAGCCGGCCUGAGAGGGCGACCGGCCACAUUGGGACUGAGAUACGGCCCAGACUCCUACGGGAGGCAGCAGUGGGGAAUAUUGCACAAUGGGCGCAAGCCUGAUGCAGCGACGCCGCGUGCGGGAUGACGGCCUUCGGGUUGUAAACCGCUUUUGACUGGGAGCAAGCCCUUCGGGGUGAGUGUACCUUUCGAAUAAGCACCGGCUAACUACGUGCCAGCAGCCGCGGUAAUACGUAGGGUGCAAGCGUUAUCCGGAAUUAUUGGGCGUAAAGGGCUCGUAAGCGGUUCGUCGCGUCCGGUGUGAAAGUCCAUCGCUUUAACGGUGGAUCCGCGUCGGGUACGGGCGGGCUUGAGUGCGGUAGGGGA